CAUGUUCUUAAUUAUUUUAUAUUCAUCAUUUUUACUUGUAAGCUUUCAGUUAAAAGUGAUAUAUGGCAAUGAUUUGGAAGCGUCAAGAUCCACAGGCCUUAUCAAUGGAAAAGACAGUUAUUUACUCUUUAUCGCAAUGGGAGAUUUGAUGUUAGAUUGUAUAUUUUGAUCAUGUGCAGUCAUUGUGAAGUAUAAAGUGUCAUGUGCAUCAUUGUGUCACUACCAAUUAAAAGUGAUAUAUGGCAAUGAUUUGGAAGCGUCAAGAUCCACAGGCCUUAUCAAUGGAAAAGACAGUUAUUUACUCUUUAUCGCAAUGGGAGAUUUGAUGUUAGAUUGUAUAUUUUGAUCAUGUGCAGUCAUUGUGAAUUAUAAAGUGUCAUCUGCAUCAUUGUGUCACUACCAACUUUCAGUUAAAAGUGAUAUAUGGCAAUGAUUUGGAAGCGUCAAGAUCCACAGGCUUUAUCAAUGGAAAAGACAGUUAUUUACUCUUUAUCGCAAUGGGAGAUUUGAUGUUAGAUUGUAUAUUUUGAUCAUGUGCAGUCAUUGUGAAGUAUAAAGUGUCAUCUGCAUCAUUGUGUCACUACCAACUUUCAGUUAAAAGUGAUAAAUUGCAGUGAUUUGGAAGCGUCAAGAUCCAAAGACUUUAUCAAGAGAAUAGACAAUUAUUGACUUUUUAUCGCAAAUGGAGAUUUGAUGUUGGAUUGUAUAUUUUAAUGAUGUGCAGUCAUUCUGAAGUAUUAAAUGUCAACUGCAUCAUAAUGUUACUACCAGCUUUCAGUUAAAAGUGAUAUUUGGCAGUGAUUUGGAAGCUUCAAGAUCCACAGGCUUUAUGAAGGGAAAAGACAUUAUUUACUCUUUAUCGCAAUGGGAGAUUUGAUGUUGGAUUGUAUAUUUUGAUGAUGUGCAGUCAUUAUGAAAUAUUAAGUGUCAUCUGCACCAUUGUGUCACUACCAAGUGUGCAUCAAAGAAAUUCAUGAAACAAUCUUGAAAUUCUAAAUUAAGAUAGAUUGAUUGAUCAAUUUAAAAUUAAUUUUUUUUCCACAAACUAUUCCUUGUGCACAUGAGUAUAUGUAAUGUUGUUUGAAAAUGGAAAUAAAUCAAUAUAUUUUCUAGAUCAAUUGAUUAAUAACGCAAAACUCAAAUCAAUUCUGUGAAACGAAUAUUUUUUUUAUAAUAAAAGCCAAUAAGGGAAUGUUUGACAUGAAUUAGAAAUCACAAAAGUAAGAAUUAUUAUUUAUCAGUUUUAUUUCAUUUUACGGUAGAACCUAUGUAGGAAAAGUCUUUGUCAAAAGAUUUUUAAGCUUCAACACUGGAUUUUAAAAGGGGAAAAGUUAAAUUAGUACUUGCUUAUCAAUUAGUUAAAAGCUCAUGAUGUGUUUCCCUUUUUUUAAUGUAUCACAGCCUGUGAAACUUGGAAUGGUAAUUACUUACUGCGACUACCCAUUUGCAGUUAUUUUUAGGGGUACUUGUCAAGAAGAUAAUAUUAAAAAAUCAUAAAAAAAUACGUCUUCAAAGAUCUUUGUUUAUAUACUUUAUCAACUGAACAAUAUUAAGAAAUAUUUCUCAAGAAUUUCUUUUUUAUUCAAUUUACAUAAAAAAGUCCACACUUAAUAAAUGAUUGGCAAAUGACCUCUUUUUUGGGGGUCAAUUUUCAAAAAAAAAAUUCAGAAGUCUAUGUUAUGAUGU
Long non-coding RNA from Saccostrea cuccullata (small rock oyster), 1686 nucleotides. RefSeq lists it as uncharacterized. NCBI's taxonomy places the organism in Eukaryota, Metazoa, Mollusca, Bivalvia, Ostreida, Ostreidae. The record is from RefSeq and is a predicted model, not a curated record. The transcript has 5 exons.